Molecule: ribosomal RNA, 273 nt
Filed under: uncultured Pseudomonas sp.
Lineage: Bacteria; Pseudomonadati; Pseudomonadota; Gammaproteobacteria; Pseudomonadales; Pseudomonadaceae
Description: partial 16S ribosomal RNA
Rfam family: Bacterial small subunit ribosomal RNA
Source: RNAcentral
AGUUACCAGCACGUUAUGGUGGGCGACUCUAAGGAGACUGCCGGUGGACAAACCGGAGGAAGGUGGGGAGUGACGUCAAGUCAUCAUGGCCCUUACGGCCUGGGCUACACACGUGCUACAAUGGUCGGUACAAAGGGUUGCCAAGCCGCGAGGUGGAGCUAAUCCCAUAAAACCGAUCGUAGUCCGGAUCGCAGUCUGCAACUCGACUGCGUGAAGUCGGAAUCGCUAGUAAUCGUGAAUCAGAAUGUCACGGUGAAUACGUUCCCGGGCCUU